UGCCCUUCAAAUGACGAUCUUUCUCUGUAAGCUUCAACUUGGCGCGCCCUGAAAAUAAGGCGCGCCCUAUCUUCUUGAACUGGUCUCUUCUGACUGACAUGGCUAGUUUGGGCUUGGUCCAAUGUUGAGCCCAUCAUAGUCUUCUUUUAUGGGCCAGGUCUUCAUGGUGAUUUUUGCGUAUAACAACUACCCCCCAGAUCUUGGUGGCAUUGAAAAUGUCGACGAGAUCUUCAUGUCCUUCAGCCCUUGAGAUGUCCUAUCUUGGUUGUUCUUCGUUGAUGCAGAAGAUGUUGACGGUAUAUAACUAGGCGCGCCAUAUGUUGAAGGAGAUUCCUUUGAAGCCGAUGUUGAAGAAGUUGUUUGAAGAUGAUGAUAAUUCUGCUUGACGGAGGUGAAGGCAGUACUUGCUUGAUGGAUAUGAAAGUAGUGCUUGCCUGAUGGAGACGAUGAUGAGGUUGUUGAGGAUGAGGCCGUGGAAGCCGAGACUGAGUCGAUGAAGAUGAGGCUGCGGAAGCCGAGGCUGAAGGAGAGGCCGCGGAAGCCAAGACUGAGUUGAUGAAGAUGAGGCCGCGGAAGCCGAGGCUGAAGGAGAGAUGAGGCCGCGGAAGCCGAGGCUGAAGGAGAGGCCGCGGAAGCCAAAGAUGAAGGAGAGGCCGCGGAAGCCAAGAAUGAAGGAGAGAUGAGGCUGCGGAAGCCAAGGCUGGAGAUGAGGCCGCGGAGGCCGAUGCUGGAGAUGAGGCCGCGGAAGCCGAGGAUGAAGUAGAAGAACGUGCCUUCUACCACGUCUUAGAUGAGGAUGAGGCGCGCCCUUUUUAUCCAAAUCCUUCUUCUAAUUUGUAUGAUCACCCCCCAGUUUCGGAGUAUGAGCUUGACUUGAAGAUGCAGGUUGGAGAAGACAGUGUUGCGAAGAUGUGUUGUGAUAUAUUUUUACUCUGAAUCUUGAAGACUGAAGUGUUGGAUGUGUCUCUGUAUACAAUUAUAUUUAGCAAAAUAAUAAGGUUAGUAUUUACCUCAUGACGCGCCCUGUUAGGGGAAGGCGCGCCCCAUUUUCUCUCCUUCGCAUUAUCCCUAGCUCUUUCCUUUACUUUCGGCCAAAGAUUUUGUCCCAUCUCCUUAUAUGCUUCACCCUUGAGACCUUAUGGUGUGCCUUGUUAGGCUAGACAUUUUUUCCAGAAAAAGUUUCCAAGAGAGUACGUCCGGGACAUGUCUCUUGAAAAUAUUGUCCCUGCAAAAUACUUAAUUGAAAACACUGAUACCCUAAAAAUUAGGUAGCACUUUGAUAGUCAUUCUUAGUUAAAAACAGCUUAAUAAAACAAAAACAUCAGGAGCUAAAUAAGAAACGAACGAUAUAUAUUAAUUAUAACAACCAUCUACAUCAACAAUAUAAUAAAAACAUUUACAAUAUAAUAAUACAUUUAUAUAUUAUAGAAAAUAAGGAAAAACUUAUCUCUGUUAGUGAGUGUCUCAUCCAAAAUUAAAUAUGGCAAAGACACAGUAGAAUAUAGCUCCCAUGCACCCGCAUUGGUUACCUGACUUGAUCACAUGAGUUGAGUCCACCUAUAUAAAUUUUUUGAACUACACAAUAGUACUUAAAAACAAAACUUAUUAGCGUGAACACAUAUAAUAUGCUCAAAAAUGAUAUAAGAUAUUUUUACUUUUAAGAAUAAAAGCAAAUAUGUAAUAUGAAGAUUAUCUGAAAUAGAUGCGGCAAAUAAUAGAAAUUAGAAAACUUAUCCUAUUUUAUUCGUGCCAAAUUUGGAGACGGAUACUCCGGAAGGAUUUCGUGCUUUUCACCUGUGCUAACUGUAUGUACCAUAAUUCACCAGUUCUCCACAUCUGUCUCUUUAGUACAAAAUCAAUUUAAUUACGCAUGUCACAAAAGGGCCGAAAUUAUAAAAUAAAAUUUAAUUUUGAGUUUACACAACAAAUUUCAAAUUAAUGUAAUAAUAUGUCAAGCAAAAUCCACGCAUGAACAUUAGUUAGUAUAAUAUGUACUGCAUGACAAAAUAUUAUUAAUGCAUGGCACGAUUAUUUAUGCGAUAUGAAAAUUAGUAUAAGAAAACUUAUCAUUCGGCUGUUGGAAGUUGGAAUCGCCACCGGCUGACUCCGAGCUCCUCUGUUUUAUUAACUGGCUGGUUGAUUCUAAACACUCUGCAGUAACUUUCCUUUUCACCGACGGUCCAGGACAUCCACUUUGCUUUUUGUUUUCUUUUCUGCGAGGCACGCUACAAAUCAUAUUAAAAACCGGUUAGGUAAUAAACUCCUAAACAAUCUCUAACUUCAAUAUUAAAAAUUAGUUUAUAAAGUAAAUCAUAAUAAUAUUUAAGAUAUAUUGAUCAGUGAGUAGAAAAUAUAAUAUAACUAAAACAAGAUUAUAUUAAUUCAACAUGCAAAUUAAAUUAUGUUUAUAAAAUAUAUAUAACUCGCAACUUAUCAUAAAAAUAUUUUUGGAACAGGACCUAUGCAGUAUGAUAAACAAAUAACUUAAUAAGC
RNAcentral lists this long non-coding RNA (2493 nucleotides) under Daucus carota (carrot). RNAcentral describes it as "long non-coding RNA (DCAR_LNC001201)". The record is from RNAcentral. Lineage: Eukaryota; Viridiplantae; Streptophyta; Magnoliopsida; Apiales; Apiaceae.